UCUUUGGGCAACCUCUUCCAGGAACCUUCAGUGCCAGCUAUAUCAACAAGGUCUUAACUGCUCUUCAAGCCGUAUGUGUGACCUGGGUUUUCUAAACAGGGGCUCUCGGUGGACCUGGAACUUGAAACUCUCUUACCUCACCUUUCCAUGUGGUGAGAUGAUAGAAAGGAAUCACCAACACUUUAGGGUUUAUGGCAGCGCUCUUACGUGAGCUAAUUGAUGUUUACAUUGGUAUCCAUAUCCCUCCACACUUCUCCCCUUGCCAGCAGUCAAAGGAUAUCCUGUCUUAGGGUUGGAGCUCUACUGUCUAAAAUUUUCCCAGUAGUUUUAGAGGGCAUAUGUAAGGAACAACCACAGACACAACAGUGUCACGAGGGCCAACUGCAAAACAGCUUUUCUCCUGCAGAACAAUUCUCAUGCCUUUCUUUGGUCUGUAGUGGCCUUCUUCUCUUAGGGCUUAAAUUGAUGGGAUGCUUAGUUGUAAAACAUUUGAGAAAGAAAGACUCUUGGUAUGCAUGCAAAAAACUUCUGGAUAAUGUGCUAAACUUCAUGUUCUUGCCAAAACGUACUGUUUUAAAGCAACAAAGACAACAGAAUUAAAGUCACUCAAGCCAAGCCCAGUCUAGUGCUCUUAGUGAAGUCAGUUUGUUCCAUACUCUGAAAAGUCUAGGGAGUAAA
This 678-nucleotide long non-coding RNA is filed under the name Rattus norvegicus (Norway rat). Its description in RNAcentral is "long non-coding RNA NONRATT015834". The record is from RNAcentral. Lineage: Eukaryota; Metazoa; Chordata; Mammalia; Rodentia; Muridae.